CGUCCGCUCGGGCAUCGAGAUCGACCCAAAGGCGCGCGAGCGCCCACGACCGCGACCCCAGGUCAGGCGAUC
This 72-nucleotide ribosomal RNA is filed under the name Craniolaria integrifolia. RNAcentral's name for it is "partial 28S ribosomal RNA". The record is from RNAcentral. Lineage: Eukaryota; Viridiplantae; Streptophyta; Magnoliopsida; Lamiales; Martyniaceae.